CUGUCUUGAUUGCAGAAAUAGAAUUUUACUUUUGAGUGAAAAGGCUCAAAUGUGUUAAAGGGACGAUAAGACCCUAUAAAACUUUAUAUAAUGAGGUCAAUUUUUGAAUUUAGUGUUAAAGUGAAUUGGGCUUUAUUUAUUAUGUUGGGGCGGCAAAAAUAAAAUGAGUAACUGUUUAUAAAUUAAAAUAGAUAUAUUUAGAAGAGUGAUCCUUUUUUAGGGAUUAGAAGAAAAAGUUACUUUAGGGAUAACAGCGUAAUUUUUUCUGAGAGUUCUUAUCGACGAAAGUAGUUGCGACCUCGAUGUUGAAUUAAGAUUUCCCUAAGGGGUAGAAGUUUUAGUGGUAGGUCUGUUCGACCUUUGAAAUCUUA
This 371-nucleotide ribosomal RNA is filed under the name Alvinocaris chelys. RNAcentral describes it as "partial 16S ribosomal RNA". It matches the Rfam family "Bacterial large subunit ribosomal RNA", at positions 2016 to 2598 of the family's 2925-position model. The record is from RNAcentral. Lineage: Eukaryota; Metazoa; Arthropoda; Malacostraca; Decapoda; Alvinocarididae.